Molecule: long non-coding RNA, 2379 nt
Organism: Sceloporus undulatus (fence lizard)
Lineage: Eukaryota; Metazoa; Chordata; Lepidosauria; Squamata; Phrynosomatidae
Exons: 6
Source: RefSeq, a predicted model, not a curated record
GACUUCCCUCCCCAAGUGCAUUGAGUCGCAACAGUUUCGCACAGAAGAUAUCAAAGAAUUUCCUUGAUGCAUGCCCAAGGAGGGUCAAGGAGACCGUGUUUGGCUACUCCUGUUUCCAAGUCCUGCAGCUUGUGUGUCAGAGCAAAAACCUGUCGUCUUACCAUUUUAUGCCAGCGCUGAUGGCACCGUUUCUGAUUCUGAUUCUUGUGCUGCCUAUUAUGGUGAUCAACCCACAAACACUCAUCCGUUUGGCCCUCAAGUGGGACAAUGGCAAUUGGGCAAGUGACCCAAACUGGGCCAUGAAGCCAAAGAGACCUUUGUGUUUCUAAACACACUAUGGAUAAACCAGAGAUCGAGUGACUUUUGCUGCUGAAAACAGGUAAGGUGUAAAUUACAUGGCUCCAAACAGGCAGUACACAAAGGCCAGAAAGGGUUCAAUACCUGUUGGGUGGGCAGUUAUGUCCUCCGCCCCCGAUCAGUCUCUAUUGCAGGCAACACUGAUGUGCCUGUGUUGGUGUGUGAAAUGCAAACUGACCCUCACACCAGUUGUCUAAGCAUUUACCUUGAGCAGAGAGUUCGAGAGGCGAUUCAAAAGUUACGCUGCAGGGGCUCAUUAGGUUCUUCAGGUUUUGGAACAGCUGGAAAACAAAGAAGCACCAGGGUCUCUGAUGUGGAGCAACAGAGGAAGAGGAAUUGCAGGGUUCAUUGUUGCUGGUGCCACACACCAAACCUGGCAGCACACCAGAUAUCGAUGCAUCCCCAGAGGUUGUACCUUCUCUCCAUUGUGGUUCCCCAAGACGUAGCACCCCAUGAUGUGAAUAACAUUUGGCUCUGGAUUCAGUUUGCUCAUCAGGUGGCCCAGCCGCUUCCAGAAACUGCAAAAGAAGGUGGAGGAACACUAUAUUGGAUUUGCCAGUUUGCAAGGUUGAGGAGGUGGGAAAGACAAACAGCCCCCUUCAAGCAAAAGCCAAAAUUCUCAAAACAGACAAAGUUGGCACCAAAUUCCACACAUGCAGAAAACACACACAACUAUGAUUUCCCAAUGAGAAGCAUGCCAGUUUGACAGCCUCCCCAAACAAGGAGACCAGAAGCAUUUAACUCACUAGAUCAUGUCUUCCUCUUUCUCCACUUUUGCAAAAGUGGCGACUUUAUUCUUCAAAAGGUACAAGUGUCCAGGCCCACCCUGCAGGAGAUAAAAAGCCAGCAUUUGCAACAAACAGUCUGGUGCUUCUCUUGGAGAGGAAGCUACUACUGCUUUGUUAUCUGGAAGGCCAUCUUCUUCAAGGUCAGGAGUUCUAUGAAGCCAAGAGGAAGCAAUGAACAAUAGCUGUUUGAAGGGACUAUCAUUUACCUGACAAAAAAUCAACAUCUUCCAGAUUUUGCAGCCCUUGCGAUAGAUGUUCAGUUUCUUCUCGAUUUCUUCUGCAGAAGAAAGGGAAAGAAAGAAGAGGGGAAAGAUGUAUAAACCAUGCACAGAGGGGAAAGAAAGCAUUUCUGAGCAUGGCGAGGAGAAGUCAUAGCGUGCUUAAGACUGAUGUUCAUAUUGCUAUGCUUUGUGCCCAUUGGAAGAAAGGUGGUAUAUGAAUGCAAUAAAUCCCUUAAGAGUGCCAAGGACCUAUUUGGGGAAGAUCUGUUGGGAAAGAGUCUAUCGUCUCAGCAGGUCUAAGGAGCUCAAAAAGGAAUUAGGAACCCAGAAAUUGCAAAUUUUGGACUAUAGUUCCCAUAAUCCCAAAACAGCAUGGGCACUAAGUGGCAGGGGAUUAUGGGAAUUAAGUCCAAACAAUAACUUCUAAGCUUUGUCUGUAUUUUCCCCCUUUUUUGGAUGCAUAGAAUGAAGCUUUUGGAGCCACUAAGAGGUGAAGGAAUCUACUCUGAUUUCCACUGCUUCCCUUACUUUACACCCAGAUCUCCCCUGUAUCCCUCUGUAACUCCAACUCCAGGUUCAACAUCUAGCUGUCCCUUUCAACCAGUGUAAUGCCAUUUAGUUUCAUUCCAAAUACAUACCUAAAAUGUCAUCAAAGGUGGCGUGCUCAUGAUCCUAAAAGAAAAAGGAGAAGGAUGGAUAAAUAUUCUCGAUUUUACUUGUCAAUGUGGCUCAGGAGCUCAAGGACGUAGGCUGCAAACAGUCAUUUGUAAUGGAGCAGGAAGCAGUAUGAAAUAGUCCCUAUUGCCAAAAAGGUUAAGAGUAGGGAACUACUGGCUUUCCAGAUGUUUUGGCCUAUAUCACACAUCAUCAUUUAUAUUUAUAUUUAUUUGUGUCCCCCUUUCCCCCAAAAUUGAGACUCAAAGUGGCUCACAAUUUAAAAGAACAAUAUAAUUAAAGAGUCCCCUUCCUCAGAAGUUUGGGAAUGAUUUUCACAGAGGUGGGUUUUGCAAGAA